This 318-nucleotide small nuclear RNA is filed under the name Canis lupus familiaris (dog). Its description in RNAcentral is "7SK RNA". It matches the Rfam family "7SK RNA". From Rfam's summary of the family: 7SK was discovered as an abundant small nuclear RNA in the mid-70s but a possible function has only recently been suggested. Two independent studies have found that 7SK RNA binds the CDK9/cyclin T complex (known as elongation factor P-TEFb). P-TEFb activates transcription by phosphorylating the C-terminal domain of RNA polymerase II. RNAcentral also lists the same sequence under 1 other name. Lineage: Eukaryota; Metazoa; Chordata; Mammalia; Carnivora; Canidae. The record is from Rfam by way of RNAcentral.
AGUUUUCAAAAUAACACAACAUAUGUCACCCUAUUGAUCACCAGGGUAGAUUUGUCUAAUCUGGCCAGUUAGAUGGGUGUCUCCUUUCUCCCUGAGCACUCCAUGUGUGUGCCUCCUGAAGCUGUGCACUUGGUCACUCAGUAGAAUAGGAUGACCUUCCCUGACAGAGGAGGACCAUUCUUCUGUCAAAGGUAUAUGAGUAGCUGUGCUAGUAUCUCCAAACAAAUUUUCUUAGCAUCUUCUAGUGAUGAGAAAUUUAACUUUAAAACAUCAUUAUGAAAUCAUGGUUUUAAGUAUAUUUAAUAUAUUUCAAUCCAU